RNAcentral lists this ribosomal RNA (253 nucleotides) under uncultured bacterium. Its description in RNAcentral is "partial 16S ribosomal RNA". It matches the Rfam family "Bacterial small subunit ribosomal RNA", at positions 524 to 776 of the family's 1533-position model. The record is from RNAcentral.
UACGAAGGGUGCAAGCGUUAUUCGGAAUUACUGGGCGUAAAGCGUGCGUAGGCGGUUUGUUAAGUCCGUUGUGAAAGCCCUGGGCUCAACCUGGGAAUUGCAGUGGAUACUGGCGAGCUAGAGUGCGGUAGAGGAUGGUGGAAUUCCCGGUGUAGCGGUGAAAUGCGUAGAGAUCGGGAGGAACACCCGUGGCGAAGGCGGCCAUCUGGACCAGCACUGACGCUGAGGCACGAAAGCGUGGGGAGCAAACAGG